Molecule: ribosomal RNA, 513 nt
Filed under: uncultured bacterium
Lineage: Bacteria
Description: partial 16S ribosomal RNA
Rfam family: Bacterial small subunit ribosomal RNA
Source: RNAcentral
GAUGAACGCUGGCGGCGUGCCUAAUACAUGCAAGUCGAACGCGCAGCGAAAGGUGCUUGCACCUUUCAAGCGAGUGGCGAACGGGUGAGUAACACGUGGAUAACCUGCCUCAAGGCUGGGGAUAACAUUUGGAAACAGAUGCUAAUACCGAAUAAAACUUAGUAUCCCAUGAUACAAAGUUAAAAGGCCCUACGGCGUCACCUAGACAUGGAUCCGCGGUGCAUUAGUUAGUUGGUGGGGUAAAGGCUUACCAAGACGAUGAUGCAUAGCCGAGUUGAGAGACUGAUCGGCCACAUUGGGACUGAGACACGGCCCAAACUCCUACGGGAGGCUGCAGUAGGGAAUCUUCCACAAUGGGCGCAAGCCUGAUGGAGCAACGCCGCGUGUGUGAUGAAGGCUUUCGGGUCGUAAAGCACUGUUGUAUGGGAAGAAAUGCUAAAAUAGGGAAUGAUUUUAGUUUGGCGGUACCAUACUAGAAAGGGACGGCUAAAUACGUGCCAGCCGCCGCCGUAA